CAUAACAUGGCAGAGAGCAAGAGACAUACUAUAAUUCAGAGAGGUAAAGAAUUACCUGAACUGCAACCGUACAAAACCUGUUGCAGCCUUUACCACUGCCGUUAUUGCAAUAUGUUUAAGCCAACCAGACUGGACAAAUUAAAAUGAUAUCUCCAGAGCCAUUCCAGCAAGGCAGUUGUCCAUGAAGACUUCACCAUACAUAGAUGUGGACUAGGCUGUAGACCAGUCUGUCUUUAAGCUUGACUGGGCCUUGAAGACAAAAUCAAAUCAAAAUCAAAUCACUUUAUUGUCACACAGCCAUAUACACAAGUGCAAUGGUGUGUGAAAUUCUUGGGUGCAGUUCCGAUCAACAUAGCAGUCGUGACAGUGAUGAGACAUACGCCAAUCUACAAUAAACAUCAAAUUAACACAACGCAAUUUAAACAUCUGUUAUACAUAAUUAAACUCGACUUAAAACAUCAAAUUAACACAACACAAUUUAAACAUCUGUUAUACAUAAUUACACAACUUAAAACAUCAAAUUAACACAACACAAUUUAAACAUCUGUUAUACACAAUUACACUCAACAAUAUACAAUA
Molecule: long non-coding RNA, 579 nt
Organism: Myxocyprinus asiaticus (Chinese sucker)
Lineage: Eukaryota; Metazoa; Chordata; Actinopteri; Cypriniformes; Catostomidae
Exons: 3
Source: RefSeq, a predicted model, not a curated record